UACAGAGGUCUCAAGCGUUAAUCGGAAUCACUGGGCGUAAAGCGCACGUAGGCGGACUCUUAAGUCGGUGGUGAAAUCCUGGAGCUCAACUCCAGAACUGCCUCCGAUACUGCGAGUCUCCGAGUCCGGGAGAGGUGAGUGGAACUGCGAGUGUAGAGGUGAAAUUCGUAGAUAUUCGCAAGAACACCAGUGGCGAAGGCGGCUCACUGGCCCGGUACUGACGCUGAGGUGCGAAAGCGUGGGGAGCAAACAGG
RNAcentral lists this ribosomal RNA (254 nucleotides) under uncultured bacterium. Its description in RNAcentral is "partial 16S ribosomal RNA". It matches the Rfam family "Bacterial small subunit ribosomal RNA", at positions 524 to 776 of the family's 1533-position model. The record is from RNAcentral.